RNAcentral lists this ribosomal RNA (213 nucleotides) under Triticum aestivum (bread wheat). Its description in RNAcentral is "partial small subunit ribosomal RNA". Lineage: Eukaryota; Viridiplantae; Streptophyta; Magnoliopsida; Poales; Poaceae. The record is from RNAcentral.
AUUAUCAAUAGGAUCAAUUCUAACAAGUCACACACUCAUAUUCCAGAGAUACCGAAACAAAAAAAUUCCGCGGUCGAACUACCAUAAUAUCUAGAAAUGUAGAUCUUAAACUAGAAAGGCUUUUUUGGAUGGAAAAACUCUGACUUCCUAGUUUUAGUUAGUAGAAACCUAAUUGGUUAAAAUUCCAUCCAGUAAAACGGAAGAAUUAUAAAU